UAAAUUAAAAAUUAAAAAAAGAGAGAAAAAAAGCAUAUCCUUCAGUGUUGAAAGCAACUGUAAAUCUUUCUCUUCCCUUAAUUAUGUUAACCUCCACUAAGCUGUUUUUAUGUGCUGGGCAGUGAGUCAAUAUCUCACACACAUUACCUCAUUCAAUUUUUGCACACCUAUAAGGGAAGUAUUAUUGCUGACGUACAGAAGUAAAAAGAAAUUCUCUGAGUGGUUGCAGUGGCACGGUAGGUGGAACAUAAAGUCAGAUUUGAAACCGGGUGGUCUGACUCCUGAAAACGUGUUAUUAAUCCCUGUCCUACAUUUCAUGGUGUUUUGAGGGUAGUGCUCCUCAUCUCAGCUGUUUGUGAGGGCACAUGGCUUUCGAUCUUACUUGGUCACCUCAGGCUUUACAUUCUGUGAUAGUUAAUAAGGAUACAUUUAUUAUAAGACCAUCUCUAACUGGAGGGUAUUUCAAGUGCCAUCUAUUUAAAUCCCUUUUGUCUACCCUAUUAAAGGAGAACAUUUAGUCAGUCAAUACAGCUAUACAAAGGUUUAUCAGUGUCCCUUGAAAGAGUUAGGCUUAUUAUAGAUGAGGAGCCUGGCAACUGAGUACCCGCUCUCAUGAAUCAUUCAGAGUUAGAACUAGACUGCAUUGGAAACCCAUGGAUAUCUCUCAGUUUAGGGCAGUGCUGUCUACAAUUGCUAUUUGUAGCUUAUAUUCCAAACUGAGAAAGCAAAUUAUACUGAUCCUCUUCCAUGUUGUACAAUACCAAACAUGACUGAGCCCUUCUCUCUGCUCUUUUAUUUUUCUCCCACCAGAGUCAUUAUGAAGAACAGGUUUGCAUCCUUGGGCUGAGGAAGAAGAACCAUACUAGACUAUUUCUGCUUGAUUCAUUAUCUCCCUAGAGAAAUUCAGCACUUCUAGUCUUGCUCAAUAUCACUCUAUGUUCCUUUACUAGUCCUUUUUCCUAAAUUUCCUCCCUUGAAUGGGAAAGAAUGGAUGUCAGCCAAGGGAGGAGUCAGAGAGGAAGACGUACUUUCAUACAAACAGGUACGGAGAUGAAACAAAAGGUAGAGAUAAAGAAAAGGAGAGAGAAGAGAGAAGACACAUCUUCAAGAGAUAUUGAGCCAUGGUGCUGCGGCAUAAACCUCCAGCAUUCAUUAACUUCUCAGGACUGGUAAUCCUGACCCUGUAACUCAAUGGAGCCAUGUGACUAGUUUGGGCCAAUGAGUUGUGAGGCAAAGAUGAAGCAUGAGAGUACCUGUCUGGCACAAGAUUCUCCAGAGCUCUUCAUCUCUGCCACUGGGACCAGCACUUUUCCAGAGAGUGAGCCCUUCAGUUUGGAUUCAGAAUAAGAACAAUCCAGAACAAAGAUCCACCUGGAUUCUUAAUAGACAGAUGCUUCCCGUUUCAAGGUAUAGUGAAAUCAACAUGGACAUUUACAUGGGUGUCCACACUGAAUGAAUAUGAUGUGGGCUGUUUGCCUAUUACUUUUGUAGUAGCUCUAUCCAAGAGACAUUCAUCCACAUAGAGACAAAAUAAAAGGGUGUCUCAAGGUUAAAGCAUUCCUCCUCCUCAGCUAGAGUAUAGACGAAGUAGAUUUCUAUCUUAUACAAGUGUUCUCUGAAAUCAUUACCAUUGCUUCAUCUCUAUGAGACUUUAAGAGUCAAAUUCUGGAAAGAAGAUGUCCUUCUUUGCAUUGGCUUCUUUAAGUCUCAAAGACUUGUUGGAAUUCAGGACAGAAUGAAGAGCAUUUCAAAUACUGCGUCUGUGGGCAUGAGGAGGAAAAAAGGUUUUACUUCUCCAUGAAUUGUCAUAGAAGGAAAUGAAACUUGCUAAACACAUAUCUGCUAUAAAACUGUGAUGACAGAAAAGAAAAAAGAGCACUUCUAUUUUUCGGAACUUUAUCAUUGUAAUUCUUCCAUGAAUACUAUUAAACUGAGAUCCCUGCAGAAAUGGCAUAAUUGGUCAAUAGAUUUAUGGUGCAGUUGGCAUAAUUUUAUAGAAAUUAUUUUGAUUAGUGAUGUGAAAUAUUUUAGUUGUUGCCUUUCUCCUCUUUUCUUCUCACAGUGUGUCUUAGCACACAACAAGCUCUAAAACCUGUGCAACCAGGGCAUAUGAAUAUAAUAUGACUGGGAAUUUUGAAAUGAAAUUUGCAAGAGUUCAGCACUGACUUAUCUAAACAUUUAUCCUAUUAGUGUUUUCUGGGGUAACAAUUAGAGGUAUUAAAAUUUCUAAUAGCAUUUGAUAGACAUUUGCAUGUUUGGAAUAGUAAAUAUGGUUGAACAUUGCAAGUAAUGCAUCAUAUCCCUUAACAUUAAAUAUUUGUAAAGGAUUGUUAUCUUGAAUUUCUAAUAGAGCACAUAAAGCAAAAGUAUUUUAUUCUAACAAACACAUUUUUCAGCAUUAGGCACUUAGGAUUUCAUAGUUUCAAUAAGUAAACUAAUAUAAUUUAAAAUGAGAGAGAUCUAAAAAUUAAACAUAUCUAUAUAUACUGAACUAAAGGAAGAUCUACAAUCUUAACAAAAAUUUAAAAGCAAAGUUCCAAUUAAUGGAUUAGUAUCAUACAAUUCUUAUGGAAUUAAUAUAAUAUAUAUUACAUAUUAUACAUUAUACAUACAUUGUAUAUUAUAUACAAAUCUAUAUAGCUAUAGAUAUAUGUUUGUACAUAAAAGGAUCAAAGUAGUGGUUAUCCAGGGGUGUAUGCAGAGUCUUAACUUUUUUUAGGUUUUAUUUGUCACUGAAAGCAUGUAAUAUCUUUGUAAUUUAAAAAAGGUAAUAAAAAAUACAAGCAACUGUAAAGAGAAUAAGCAAAAAGGUCAAGUAUGCCCUAUUAUGUUAGUGUCUGAUAAGGUGUGUCUGCUUUUUUUCCUUUUAUUCCUACUAAGUAUAAUUAAAAUCAUUAGUAGUGAUAUCAACCCAAAUAUAAUUAUCUAAGUUACAGUUUUUAAUUCAUUCUUAUUAUUCAGAACAAAUUUACUUAAGUUCCAUGUAUGAUAUUUUUUUGUAGUUUAAAUAAUUUAAUGUUUAAAAUAAGUUUAAAGAUGCCCAGUUAUACAGAGAAUAUAUUAUCUUUGCCCCCUUAAGCCUUACUAACAUUUUUUAUUUAACUUAGCCUUUCUGCAAAUCAUAAACAAUUUUCAUUUUUGCCUUUAGAGGAACAAUUUGUGUUAUGAAUAUUUUGGGAAGUCGCUCAGCUGUUUAGAUAAUAGUAAUGGAUUUUCCUCAGCAAUUUUGCUUUUUGGAGUUUAAUCAUGCUCUAAAGCACAGUUAAUUUGUGGAUUAGAGCUUUUUGAACAACACAAUUACCAACACAAUUACAGAGUGCUGUGGAAAUUAUUUGCAAGGCAAAGAACAAGAAGGUCAGCACAAAUGUUCCAGACAGUAUCAGUGAAACAGACGUGGGGGAUAUGUGAUCAGUAGCCACCAGACUAUUUACAAACUUCAUGUUCUUUGUGUUCACUUAUUUGCAGAAUCUUUGUUGAGUAUCUACUGUUUCAUGCACUGACUAUGCUAGACCAUAGCUUUAACCUGAUAAGCCAAUGCAAACAUGUCUUUGCCUCACAGAACUUUUAAGAAUGAACCAAAUGUAGUAGAAGCUUUUUCACCUGACCCUUUUUUAACUGACACCCCUCAUUCCCUGAUACUUUCCAUUACUCUAUAAAACUUCAUGGCUGAGGUAGCAGCCAUGCUAAGCACUAGCAAGGAGUAGGCUGCUCACUAAUAUGCUCACUUUUUGUUCCUACCCAUUCUGUUGUGCCCUUAUUACAUCAGUUGCAUUUGUUCUUCAACUUUUUUAUGCUAUAGUUUUACUUGUGAUUUUAAUUAUGUAAUUCAAUUAGUUAU
Molecule: long non-coding RNA, 3838 nt
Organism: Lynx canadensis (Canada lynx)
Lineage: Eukaryota; Metazoa; Chordata; Mammalia; Carnivora; Felidae
Exons: 3
Source: RefSeq, a predicted model, not a curated record